Molecule: non-coding RNA, 1118 nt
Organism: Malus domestica (apple)
Lineage: Eukaryota; Viridiplantae; Streptophyta; Magnoliopsida; Rosales; Rosaceae
Source: RefSeq, a predicted model, not a curated record
UUAUGUUUCCUUUCUACAUUCGUUUUUUUUUCUCUCUCUUGUCCUUCAUUAUUGAAGACGGUUGCGGAAGAUAACUGCUGACUCCUGUAUUUUCUCCCCGUAGAAAACACAUCAUCGCAACCGUUGUCAACCGCCUCUAACUGCUUGGAACGAUGUGACAGUCCCCUCCCCGUAGAAAACAUAUUGGGUAGUGAUUUGUGAGGCCCAAAUUCUUGACUGGAGGUUAAUGAAAAUUGUCUCUUCAGUUCACUCUUUGCAUAAUUAAAGUCGUACAUAAUCUUUCAGCUUAUUCACUCAUUGUCAAUUAAUUUUAGAUAAAAUUCUCACAAUGUAAUACAGUAGUAGAGUAUGCUAUUCAUGUGUCGGGUUUGACAGCCACGUAUAAGCUUCAUGGACAUAACAAUGGCCUUUAGUAUUGGCCUAUCGGGCCACGGUCGGGGUACUAUUGCCUUGUCAGAGAGACAAUUGUCAAUGUUGUCAAUCACAACUGUGGCCAAAUUCAGCAGCAACCCAAAUCCGAAGCGCAGCUCAGGAGUCUUUUACCUCAAAAAACUUCAGCAUUUGGUGCAAAUAAGUCGGUUCUUGUGACAAUUGAUGAACUUUAAAAACAGCAGCAGUGUUCAGAUGCUACUGUGGUGGAGUGGGCUAAUGAAGCUCUUCAAGGUCUUGGAAAGGUUGCUCCUUUUUCACUUUAUUUGACGCAAACUUACUUCUCCAAUGUUGCAUCUGCGCUUGGGAAAAAUGACAAUCAAUUAUCCACUAACUGGUGUGAUGAAAACUGAAUAUCGCGUUGCUAUAAGAUCGUCUUUGCGGAAUGAUUUUGCCGAAGGUGUGCGGGCAGUUUUGGUGGACAAGGAUCAGAAUCCGAAGUGGAACCCGUCAAAGUAAGAGGGAGGUGAAUCAGAGUGAAGUGGAAGCUCUCUUCGAGCCAUUUAGCCCGAACGUUUGAGCGUGUAACUGACUGGCAUGUGAAAACCGGAGCCAUUAAAAUAUAUUUACCGUUGUAGAAAAUAAGUUAGAUGAAACUACAUGAGACGUGUGUCAGUUCUAUAUGAGAGCAAACACUUGGUGAUUUGAUUAAAGACAUGUGGAAUGAUAAGGAGAUAAGGAUUGACACU